Long non-coding RNA from Hippocampus comes (tiger tail seahorse), 324 nucleotides. RefSeq lists it as uncharacterized. The transcript is spliced from 3 exons. The record is from RefSeq and is a predicted model, not a curated record. NCBI's taxonomy places the organism in Eukaryota, Metazoa, Chordata, Actinopteri, Syngnathiformes, Syngnathidae.
AUUAACGAUCGACAAAUGCCCAGUCGACGAUGUUGGAGUUUUCUAGAACCGUGAUUCCCAAUCACCGUGCCGUAAAAGAUCAUCGCGUGUGUCUAAAUGGGCCCACAUUUCAUACAGAGUCCACCUGGAUUCACCCGACUGCCCUUUUUCGUGUCUGCGUUGCACUUUCCGUCGUCUUCGUUCCACGGAGACCUUGAAUCAAUUACCGAAGGUCUGCGGCUGUACAAAGGAAUGAUUUGCUGUUGGACGACGUUAAACUGUUAAAUGCCCAAGCGCCUCAGCAAGAGUUGAGGCGACGAGUUCUGCGCCUGCUGAUGAAAAUGG